AGAGUUUGAUCCUGGCUCAGAUUGAACGCUGGCGGCAUGCCUUACACAUGCAAGUCGAACGGCAGCACGGGAGCAAUCCUGGUGGCGAGUGGCGAACGGGUGAGUAAUAUAUCGGAACGUGCCCAGUUGUGGGGGAUAACGUAGAGAAAUUUACGCUAAUACCGCAUGAGAUCUACGGAUGAAAGCGGGGGACUUCGCAAGAAGCCUCGCGCGACUGGAGCGGCUGAUAUCAGAUUAGGUUGUUGGUGAGGUAAAAGCUCACCAAGCCGACGAUCUGUAGCUGGUUUGAGAGAACGACCAGCCACACUGGGACUGAGACACGGCCCAGACUCCUACGGGAGGCAGCAGUGGGGAAUUUUGGACAAUGGGCGAAAGCCUGAUCCAGCAAUGCCGCGUGCAGGAAGAAGGCCUUCGGGUUGUAAACUGCUUUUGUACGGAACGAAAAGGUCUGCCCUAAUACGGCGGGCCGAUGACGGUACCGUAAGAAUAAGCACCGGCUAACUACGUGCCAGCAGCCGCGGNUAAUACGUAGGGUGCGAGCGUUAAUCGGAAUUACUGGGCGUAAAGCGUGCGCAGGCGGUGAUGCAAGACAGUUGUGAAAUCCCCGGGCUCNACCUGGGGACCUGCAUUUGUGACUGCAUCGCUANAGUACGGCAGAGGGGGGAUGGAAUUCCGGCGUGUAG
RNAcentral lists this ribosomal RNA (683 nucleotides) under uncultured bacterium. RNAcentral describes it as "bacterial SSU rRNA". It matches the Rfam family "Bacterial small subunit ribosomal RNA", at positions 8 to 678 of the family's 1533-position model. The record is from RNAcentral.